This 116-nucleotide ribosomal RNA is filed under the name uncultured eukaryote. Its description in RNAcentral is "partial small subunit ribosomal RNA". It matches the Rfam family "Bacterial small subunit ribosomal RNA", at positions 1410 to 1525 of the family's 1533-position model. The record is from RNAcentral.
GCCGGUUCUAUCUAAAGUCGUUAGUCUAACCGCAAGGAGGGCGUCUACCACGGUAUGGUCCAUGACUGGGGUGAAGUCGUAACAAGGUUUCCGUAGGUGAACCUGCAGAAGGAUCA